GUCUACGGCCAUACCACCCUGAACGCGCCUGAUCUCGUCUGAUCUCGGAAGCUAAGCAGGGUCGGGCCUGGUUAUACUUGGAUGGGAGACCGAACAGCAUGUCGAAAUUGAAC
This 113-nucleotide ribosomal RNA is filed under the name Ursus americanus (American black bear). The record is from RNAcentral. Lineage: Eukaryota; Metazoa; Chordata; Mammalia; Carnivora; Ursidae.